Molecule: ribosomal RNA, 445 nt
Filed under: uncultured bacterium
Lineage: Bacteria
Description: partial 16S ribosomal RNA
Rfam family: Bacterial small subunit ribosomal RNA
Source: RNAcentral
GUGAGGAAUAUUGGUCAAUGGGCGAGAGCCUGAACCAGCCAAGUCGCGUGAAGGAAGAAGGAUCUAUGGUUCGUAGACUUCUUUUGCAGGGGAAUAAAGUGCGGGAGGUGUCCUGUUUUGUAUGUACCCUGAGAAUAAGGAUCGGCUAACUCCGUGCCAGCAGCCGCGGUAAUACGGAGGAUCCGAGCGUUAUCCGGAUUUAUUGGGUUUAAAGGGUGCGUAGGUGGUUUGAUAAGUCAGCGGUGAAAGUUUGCAGCUUAACUGUAAAAAUGCCGUUGAAACUGUCGGACUUGAGUGUAAAUGAGGUAGGCGGAAUGCGUGGUGUAGCGGUGAAAUGCAUAGAUAUCACGCAGAACUCCGAUUGCGAAGGCAGCUUACUAAGCUACAACUGACACUGAAGCACGAAAGCGUGGGGAUCAAACAGGAUUAGAUACCCCGGUAGUCC